UACGUAGGGUGCAAGCGUUAAUCGGAAUUACUGGGCGUAAAGCGUGCGCAGGCGGUUUGCUAAGUGAGAUGUGAAAUCCCCGGGCUUAACCUGGGAACUGCGUUUCUAACUGGCAGGCUUGAGUGUGGCAGAGGGGGGUGGAAUUCCACGUGUAGCAGUGAAAUGCGUAGAGAUGUGGAGGAACACCGAUGGCGAAGGCAGCCCCCUGGGCUAACACUGACGCUCAUGCGCGAAAGCGUGGGGAGCAAACGGG
Molecule: ribosomal RNA, 253 nt
Filed under: uncultured bacterium
Lineage: Bacteria
Description: partial 16S ribosomal RNA
Rfam family: Bacterial small subunit ribosomal RNA
Source: RNAcentral